Molecule: ribosomal RNA, 253 nt
Filed under: uncultured bacterium
Lineage: Bacteria
Description: partial 16S ribosomal RNA
Rfam family: Bacterial small subunit ribosomal RNA
Source: RNAcentral
UACAGAGGGCGCAAGCGUUGUUCGGAUUCACUGGGCAUAAAGAGCACGUAGGCGGCUACGUAAGUCGGAUGUGAAAUCCCCCGGCUCAACCGGGGAAUGGCAUCCGAUACUGCGUGACUCGAGGUUGGGAGGGGUGAGCGGAACUCCAGGUGGAACGGUGAAAUGUGUAGAUAUCUGGAGGAACACCGGUGGCGAAGGCGGCUCACUGGCCCGAAACUGACGCUGAGGUGCGAAAGCUAGGGGAGCGAACGGG